RNAcentral lists this ribosomal RNA (401 nucleotides) under uncultured soil bacterium. RNAcentral describes it as "bacterial SSU rRNA". It matches the Rfam family "Bacterial small subunit ribosomal RNA", at positions 975 to 1375 of the family's 1533-position model. The record is from RNAcentral.
CAGGUCUUGACAUCCUCUGAUAAUCCUAGAGAUAGGACGUUCCCCUUCGGGGGACAGAGUGACAGGUGGUGCAUGGUUGUCGUCAGCUCGUGUCGUGAGAUGUUGGGUUAAGUCCCGCAACGAGCGCAACCCUUGUCCUUAGUUGCCAGCAUUUAGUUGGGCACUCUAAGGAGACUGCCGGUGACAAACCGGAGGAAGGUGGGGAUGACGUCAAAUCAUCAUGCCCCUUAUGACCUGGGCUACACACGUGCUACAAUGGAUGGUACAAAGGGCUGCGAGACCGCGAGGUUUAGCCAAUCCCAUAAAACCAUUCUCAGUUCGGAUUGUAGGCUGCAACUCGCCUACAUGAAGCCGGAAUCGCUAGUAAUCGUGGAUCAGCAUGCCACGGUGAAUACGUUCCC